This is a non-coding RNA of Oryza brachyantha (malo sina), 104 nucleotides long. The record is from Rfam. Lineage: Eukaryota; Viridiplantae; Streptophyta; Magnoliopsida; Poales; Poaceae.
CUAUAAUAUGCUAGCGGUACCAAUAAAAUUGGAACGAUACAAACAAUUAGUAUGGCCCCUAUGCAAGGAUGACACGCAUAAACCAAGAAAUGGUCCAAAUUUUU